CUUGCUCUCCAUUCUGAUUUGCCCCUCUAGCUGCUGCUGGAAGCUCCUGUUUGAAGCCAAUGCUGUUCAUGCUUUUAAGGUAAUGAUUACUGUUUUUAAGUACUGGAUUAAAAGCUAAUGUGUUAGUAUUUCUUAUCUUUUGUGUUUAAUGACUGUUUGUUUUAUUAGGAUCAGUUCCUGACUAUUGCCUUGAUUUUAUGUACGGUAGGCCCAGCCAUUUGGGUUUUAAGGCCCCUUGGAUGUGUGGAUUUAUGCAGUGGUGUUCAGUUGCAUAAAGAGCCCUGUGUUUUAAUUGAAUAACUAUAUUCUUGAUUUGGUACCAAUGUUUUAAUGAAAGUAAAAAUAAAUGUGAAUGAGAUUUCUAUUUUGUGUGGAAAAUAAAUUAAUUGUUUUGGAAACUUG
This is a long non-coding RNA of Astyanax mexicanus (Mexican tetra), 402 nucleotides long. RefSeq lists it as uncharacterized. NCBI's taxonomy places the organism in Eukaryota, Metazoa, Chordata, Actinopteri, Characiformes, Acestrorhamphidae. The record is from RefSeq and is a predicted model, not a curated record. The transcript is spliced from 2 exons.